This 1534-nucleotide unclassified non-coding RNA is filed under the name Hevea brasiliensis (rubber tree). The record is from RNAcentral. Lineage: Eukaryota; Viridiplantae; Streptophyta; Magnoliopsida; Malpighiales; Euphorbiaceae.
CUAGUCACUGCAAAUUCAUCAGAGGCUCUGUACUUUCAUUGUUUUAACAUGUUUCAUAUUAUAGUUCAAUAGCUAGUCUAGUAAUUCAUCAAAUACCAAGCACUGCACUAACAUAUAAUAAUCCCAAAAUAUAGAUGCAAAGUCUGAUACUUUCAAGUACACAUCUCAUUAGUUCUCACAAGGUCCAGCCUUCACAAAACGAAUUUAAAAAGUUCCAGCAAGUUUCAAGGUGACUGGCUCUCUCUACCAGAGCGUUGAUUACGAAACUCACCUUCAUCCUCAUCAUCUUCAUGGUUCCUCUGGUACUUGGGACUCGGACUUCGACUUCCACCAUUAGCUUCAGCAGGGCUGUCAUCAUCAUACUUUCGAGGAGCUGGGCUAUCCCUUCUAGUACUUGAAGGACUGACGCUCCUCUCUCUGGGGCUUUGGCUAUAGGCACCUUCUUCUCUCAUUGGUGAAGAAGGGCUCUUUGCUUCCAUCGGGCUUCCCUCUUCAGGUGUUGGGCUGCGCUUCCUAGUCUUGGGUGGAGGGCUUGGACUAUCCUUCCUUGGCUCGGGGCUCCUACUGUAGCUUCUUGAUCGCUUGACCUGGUCGACUUGUUCUCUCUUUGGUGGCGGGGAUCUUGAUUGACUAUAGCUGCGACUUCUGCUAUAACUUCGACGAGGAGAACGUGAACGCGAACGUGAGCGUGACUUUGACCUAGCAGGCGACCGUGAGUAGCUGCGUCUACUGAGUUUUUUAGGACUAUUUGGGCAUUUUCUUUCUAUAUGACCUCUUUCUCCACAUCGAUAACACUUGUUCUUCCAAUCCCCAGCUUUGCAAUCUCGAGCCCAGUGACCUUCAAGACCACAGUUGAAGCAGCGACCUGACCCAGGAGCGGGUCCUUUGCCAAGAUACUCACGCGAACCGCCUGGUCCACGUGGCACACCCUUGGCAAAUUCCACAAUUAUGCGGCGUCCAUCAAUGUCACGGCCGUCUAAAUAGUAUCUUGCAUCAUCAGCAUCUCGAGGAUCACUAAAUUCUACGAAGGCAUAGUCGUGCUUCAUGUCCACAUCCCGUACUCUGCGGAAAUGGUUGCCAGAAACAGUAAGGCCAUCAUUACUUACUUAAGCACAGGAAGUUCAUGAACACUUGCCCCUCAAGACGAACUAUACACCAGUUUGAGAUUGUUGGGAAUUCCAUAAAAAUACGCAAAGACAUUAUAGAACAGACCACCAAAGUCUCCUAAAACCGGGCAAGACUCCACCAAGUCCAUUAAAGAAAGAAUCACCGAAUUCUCCUAAAACCCGGCAAGACUUUCCAUCAAAUCCACCAAGGCCACCCUCUCAAGAUUGACCUUCAGGCCAGGCAAAUGCCUCCCAUAUUUACUGAAUGCACGCUCCAGAUCACGUGAACGGGUCCGUGAAGACAGGUGUCCCACAUAGAGACGAGUGCUAUUUCCCACACGAUCAUCAUAACGAGGCAUCUUUACAGCACAAUUCUCAAACCAAAUUAUCGAAAUUCCUUUGUAAUUUUUCUUUGGCUGCUUAUCGAA